GGUCCAACAUGGGCACACAUGCAGCGAUAGAGGACGGAUCUAAACGCUGUGUCCAGCUGUGUGUCCGCAGCUCUCCCCGAGCCGCGAGCUACCGCAGCUCUCUGAGAGACAGCUGUCCGUGCUGGAGGCGAGCUUCCUUGUGAACCGCAACCCGCGCCACAGCGACCUGCUGCUGCUCGGCGCCGAGCUGGAGAUGGACCAGCCGCAGAUCAAGCGCUGGUUCUGUCACCGCCUGGCCUGCUGGAGACAAGAGCAGGGUCUGCAGCCCAACGGACGCCGUGUGGACAUGAUAACGGACGGCGAUCGGGACUCGAAGAGGCUAAACAGAGGUGUCAGUGUUGAGGUAGCGCAACGUGACAUAAAGAAACGCCACUGAUGUUACCUGACAGCAGAGCGGCGGGUGACACUGCUCUCAGACGCGGUUACGAGACGGUACAAAAAUAAUUGAAGAAAAGGUGCGUGCAGAUUGGAAGGACAGAUCAUGCAACGCCCGAAUUGUGGGGACUGAAUGAAGCGAGUAGCGACACAGGUGUGUUGAGUGUUGGCAGUUGCCACACGUGCGUUACGAUGUGGUGCGAGAAGUACCGUAGUGUAUAAACAGUAAGCACAGUAUAGAGAAGCCAUAGAAGUAAGGCUUUGGGGGAGCGGUGUUCAAAGUGACCAUUGCAUGAUGUUUUUUUUCAUGCGGUGGCAGUAAUGUGGUAGACACCGCAGGCUCUGUGUGCACCUUGUUGCAGACGUGAGACGCACAGCGUAUGGGACACGUAUGUUUCACUGUCAUGAGUGAUAAGUAAACAACUGGCGCAGGACUAUAUGAACUACACAUAAUUUCCUGAUAAAUUCUAUCGAUCAUUUU
This 856-nucleotide unclassified non-coding RNA is filed under the name Amphibalanus amphitrite. RNAcentral's name for it is "uncharacterized LOC122386732, transcript variant X1". Lineage: Eukaryota; Metazoa; Arthropoda; Thecostraca; Balanomorpha; Balanidae. The record is from RNAcentral.